AUUUCAGUGGUGUAUCCAUAGUAUGGAAUGCAAAUAGUAAACUCUCCCCACCCGCAAAAAUAUAACAAUACAAGACACACCAUUAAUUAUUAAAGCUAAACCCUAACUGAGGAAGCAUAAACCCAAAUAGUAUAUAAAUAAUAUGGUUUACUAUACCCAAACUUCUACUUGGUAAAUCUAAACCCUAGGCAGGAACCUAUAAAUCCAAAUACAAUCUAUAAAAAUUUUUCCAAUAUUGGACACUUGAAGGCACAUUUUGAAUAUUAAACCCUAAACCGCUAUCACUAAACCCAAACCUUAACCCCACACCUUCCAAAUACUAAACUCUAAACUCUAAUUACUAAAUCAUAAAUCCAAGUAUAGAUGUAAACCCAAAUAGAAUGGAAUAAAAUAAAUAGUAUAGUACAUAUUGGUGAACAAAAUAGAACACUCUUUAUUAGUCGUCAAAUAAAACGAUACAUGUUCACUAAACCCAAAUCCCAACCCCGCCCUUCUAGAUACUAAAUCCUAAAUCUUAAUCACUAAACCCUAAACCCAAGUAUAAACCCUAAACCCUAAACUCUAAACCCAAAUCUCAAAAUUUAAUAUUGACCUCAAACUCACCCAUAUUACUCUAAAUACUAAACCCUAAUCACUAAUU
This 640-nucleotide long non-coding RNA is filed under the name Brassica napus (rape). Its description in RNAcentral is "long non-coding RNA (BNAP_LNC020009)". Lineage: Eukaryota; Viridiplantae; Streptophyta; Magnoliopsida; Brassicales; Brassicaceae. The record is from RNAcentral.